RNA transcript from Manis pentadactyla (Chinese pangolin), 2347 nucleotides. It is a transcript of the gene named aminopeptidase like 1, with no coding region annotated. Lineage: Eukaryota; Metazoa; Chordata; Mammalia; Pholidota; Manidae. The record is from RefSeq and is a predicted model, not a curated record. The transcript is spliced from 14 exons.
CGAGCGGGGGGGAGGCGGGGCCGGCGGCCGGGCAGGCCGGGGCGGCGCCGGGGCCGGGCCGGAGCGGCGCCGGAGCGGAGCGGGCGCGGGGCGCAGGCCGGAAGAUGGCGAACGUGGGGCUGCAGUUCCAGGCGAGCGCCGGGGACGCGGACCCGCAGAGCCGGCCGCUGCUGCUGCUCGGGCAGCUGCACCACCUGCACCGCGUGCCCUGGAGCCACGUCCGCGGGAAGCUGCAGCCCCGGGUCACCGAGGAGCUCUGGCAGGCAGCCCUAAGCUCCCUCAACCCCAACCCCACCGACAGCUGUCCCCUCUACCUGAACCAUGCCACCGUGGCCGCCCUGCCCUCCAGGGUGAGCCGGCACAACAGCCCCUCGGCCGCCCACUUCGUCACCCGGCUUGUGCGGACCUGCCUGCCUCCGGGAACCCAUCGAUGCAUUCUGGUGGUCUGCGAGCGAUCCGAUGCCUUCGCCUCCGCCUGCGCCCUGGCCCGAGCUUUCCCGCUGUUCACGCAUCGCUCUGGUGCUUCUCGGCGCACAGAGAAGAAGACGGUCACGGUGGAGUUUUUCCUGGUGGGACAGGACAACGGGCCGGUGGAAGUGUCCACUUUGCAAUGCUUAACAAGGGCCACAGAAGGUGUGCGCCUGGCAGCCCGCAUUGUGGACACGCCCUGUAAUGAGAUGAACACAGACAACUUCCUUGAGGAGAUUAAGAAAGUUGGAAAAGAGCUGGGGAUCACCCCAACUAUCAUUCGGGAUGAGGAGCUGAAGACAAGAGGAUUUGGAGGAAUCUAUGGUGUUGGCAAGGCCGCCCUCCACCCCCCAGCUCUGGCCAUCCUCAGCCACACCCCAGAUGGAGCCACGCAAACCAUUGCAUGGGUGGGCAAAGGGAUCGUCUAUGACACCGGGGGUCUCAGCAUCAAAGGGAAGACCACCAUGCCGGGGAUGAAGCGGGACUGUGGGGGAGCGGCGGCCAUCCUGGGGGCCUUCAGAGCCGCCAUCAAGCAGGGUUUCAAAGACAACCUCCACGCCGUGUUCUGCUUGGCUGAGAACUCCGUGGGUCCCAGUGCCACGAGGCCUGAUGACAUCCACCUGCUGUACUCAGGAAAGACCGUGGAAAUCAACAACACUGACGCGGAGGGCAGGCUGGUGCUGGCGGAUGGUGUGUCCUACGCCUGCAAGGACCUGGCGGCCGACAUCAUCCUGGACAUGGCCACGCUGACCGGAGCUCAGAGCAUCGCCACGGGCAAGUACCACGCCGCGGUGCUCACCAACAGCGCCGAGUGGGAAGCGGCCUGUGUGAAGGCCGGGAGGAAGUGCGGGGACCUGGUGCACCCGCUGGUCUACUGCCCUGAGCUGCACUUCAGCGAGUUCACCUCGGCCGUGGCCGACAUGAAGAACUCAGUGGCGGACCGGGACAACAGCCCCAGCUCCUGUGCUGGCCUGUUCAUCGCCUCACAUAUCGGCUUCGACUGGCCCGGAGUCUGGGUGCACCUGGACAUAGCGGCACCUGUGCACGCUGGUGAGCGUGCCACGGGCUUCGGUGUGGCCCUCCUGCUGGCGCUCUUCGGCCGGGCCUCUGAGGACCCUCUGCUGAACCUGGUGUCCCCGCUCGGCUGUGAGGUGGACGCCCAGGAGGGGGAUGAGGAGAGGGACUCCAAAAGGCGCAGGCUGGUGUGAGGCCGGCCGCCCCCUGGCCACUGGCGCAGCACAGGGCUCUUUACCUACUUUGCACUGAUUAAUUCUAAGCAGCUGGAAGAUUAUACCUUAAGGCACUAAAGCAGCCUCACGGCCAGGGACCCAGCUGGGGACCAGCUGCAGGCUCAGGGCCUGGCCUGCAUGCCCAGCGUCAAGGGGACCAUGGGGGGAAGGAAGAUGAAGUUGGCAGCGAGCUGCUGCUCCAGCUCGCGCAGCUCGCGGCCCAGGAAGAUGUUGGAGCACAUCGUCCGCCUCGUGCAGCGCGUACGCGAUGGAGCAGGCAGCUCAGACGGAGUGCUUGAGGACGAACUUGGCCACAGCCAGGUUGAUGCCGGAUGAUAUUGUGGGGACCGCCUAGAAUGAAACUUGUCCCCUGGUGCAUGACCCCUAAAGGCUGGGGGCCCCUCAUGAUCACAUAUGCGACCCCCAGCAACCUCUAGCCCAACACAUGCUUGUUGACUUUGACUUUGCUGAGUGAGUCUCUGUCCAGAGCUUCCAUUCAGACCAUGUUCCCCGGUGAAUUGAUGUUCAGCAUUUUUGUUUAUUUGUUUGUUCUUUAACAGAAGGUUGUUUGGGUUUGAGAUUCAGCAAAAACAUGCACUGCAUUCAGCUUCCUCUGCAUUCAGGAUUCAGUAAAUUAGUUGUUUUCCAGU